AUUGAACGCUGGCGGCAGGCCUAACACAUGCAAGUCGAGCGGAUGAAGGGAGCUUGCUCCUGGAUUCAGCGGCGGACGGGUGAGUAAUGCCUAGGAAUCUGCCUGGUAGUGGGGGAUAACGUCCGGAAACGGGCGCUAAUACCGCAUACGUCCUGAGGGAGAAAGUGGGGGAUCUUCGGACCUCACGCUAUCAGAUGAGCCUAGGUCGGAUUAGCUAGUUGGUGGGGUAAAGGCCUACCAAGGCGACGAUCCGUAACUGGUCUGAGGGGAUGAUCAGUCACACUGGAACUGAGACACGGUCCAGACUCCUACGGGAGGCAGCAGUGGGGAAUAUUGGACAAUGGGCGAAAGCCUGAUCCAGCCAUGCCGCGUGUGUGAAGAAGGUCUGCGGAUUGUAAAGCACUUUAAGUUGGGAGGAAGGGCAGUAAGUUAAUACCUGGCUGUUUUGACGUUACCAACAGAAUAAGCACCGGCUAACUUCGU
Molecule: ribosomal RNA, 483 nt
Filed under: uncultured bacterium
Lineage: Bacteria
Description: partial 16S ribosomal RNA
Rfam family: Bacterial small subunit ribosomal RNA
Source: RNAcentral